RNAcentral lists this ribosomal RNA (485 nucleotides) under uncultured bacterium. Its description in RNAcentral is "bacterial SSU rRNA". It matches the Rfam family "Bacterial small subunit ribosomal RNA", at positions 359 to 836 of the family's 1533-position model. The record is from RNAcentral.
GAUUUUCGCAAUGCCCGAAAGGGUGACGAAGCGACGCCGCGUGCGGGAAGAAGGCCUUCGGGUUGUAAACCGCUGUCGGGAGUUAAGAAAUGUAAGGAUGUUAAUAGCAUCUUUGCUUGACUAAGGCUCCGGAGGAAGCCACGGCUAACUCUGUGCCAGCAGCCGCGGUAAUACGGAGGCGGCAAGCGUUGUUCGGAAUUAUUGGGCGUAAAGAGCACGUAGGCGGCAUUGCAAGUCAGCUGUGAAAUCCUUUCGCUUAACGAAAGAACAGCGGCUGAUACUACAAAGCUAGAGUGCGGAAGGGGAGAGUGGAACUUCUGGUGGAGCGGUGAAAUGCGUAGAUAUCAGAAGGAACGCCGGCGGCGAAAGCGGCUCUCUGGCCCAUAACUGACGCUGAGUGUGCGAAAGCUAGGGGAGCAAACGGGAUUAGAUACCCCGGUAGUCCUAGCCGUAAACGAUGGGCACUAAGUAGAGGGGUUUUAAUC